RNAcentral lists this ribosomal RNA (433 nucleotides) under uncultured bacterium. RNAcentral describes it as "partial 16S ribosomal RNA". It matches the Rfam family "Bacterial small subunit ribosomal RNA", at positions 29 to 507 of the family's 1533-position model. The record is from RNAcentral.
AACGAACGCUGGCGGCAUGCCUAACACAUGCAAGUCGAACGAGACCUUCGGGUCUAGUGGCGCACGGGUGCGUAACGCGUGGGAACCUGCCCUUAGGUUCGGAAUAACUCCCCGAAAGGGGUGCUAAUACCGGAUAAUGUCUUCGGACCAAAGAUGUAUCGCCUUUGGAUGGGCCCGCGUUGGAUUAGCUAGUUGGUAGGGUAAAAGCCUACCAAGGCGACGAUCCAUAGCUGGUCUGAGAGGAUGAUCAGCCACACUGGGACUGAGACACGGCCCAGACUCCGACGGGAGGCAGCAGUAGGGAAUAUUGGACAAGGGGCGAAAGCGUGAUCCAGCAAUGCCGCGUGAGUGAUGAAGGCCUUAGGGUUGUAAAGCUCUUUUACCCGGGAUGAUAAUGACAGUACCGGGAGAAUAAGCUCCGGCUAACUCCGUG